This 19-nucleotide ribosomal RNA is filed under the name Ixodes persulcatus (taiga tick). RNAcentral describes it as "partial 28S ribosomal RNA". The record is from RNAcentral. Lineage: Eukaryota; Metazoa; Arthropoda; Arachnida; Ixodida; Ixodidae. RNAcentral also lists the same sequence under 1 other name.
UCGACCUCACAUCAGGCGA